Molecule: ribosomal RNA, 696 nt
Filed under: Shigella sonnei
Lineage: Bacteria; Pseudomonadati; Pseudomonadota; Gammaproteobacteria; Enterobacterales; Enterobacteriaceae
Description: partial 23S ribosomal RNA
Rfam family: Bacterial large subunit ribosomal RNA
Source: RNAcentral
UAGACCCGAAACCCGGUGAUCUAGCCAUGGGCAGGUUGAAGGUUGGGUAACACUAACUGGAGGACCGAACCGACUAAUGUUGAAAAAUUAGCGGAUGACUUGUGGCUGGGGGUGAAAGGCCAAUCAAACCGGGAGAUAGCUGGUUCUCCCCGAAAGCUAUUUAGGUAGCGCCUCGUGAAUUCAUCUCCGGGGGUAGAGCACUGUUUCGGCAAGGGGGUCAUCCCGACUUACCAACCCGAUGCAAACUGCGAAUACCGGAGAAUGUUAUCACGGGAGACACACGGCGGGUGCUAACGUCCGUCGUGAAGAGGGAAACAACCCAGACCGCCAGCUAAGGUCCCAAAGUCAUGGUUAAGUGGGAAACGAUGUGGGAAGGCCCAGACAGCCAGGAUGUUGGCUUAGAAGCAGCCAUCAUUUAAAGAAAGCGUAAUAGCUCACUGGUCGAGUCGGCCUGCGCGGAAGAUGUAACGGGGCUAAACCAUGCACCGAAGCUGCGGCAGCGACGCUUAUGCGUUGUUGGGUAGGGGAGCGUUCUGUAAGCCUGCGAAGGUGUGCUGUGAGGCAUGCUGGAGGUAUCAGAAGUGCGAAUGCUGACAUAAGUAACGAUAAAGCGGGUGAAAAGCCCGCUCGCCGGAAGACCAAGGGUUCCUGUCCAACGUUAAUCGGGGCAGGGUGAGUCGACCCCUAAGGCGAGGC